ACUUUUAUAAUAUAAAUAAGUAUACUUGACUUCCAAUCAAAAAGCCUAAAAUAAUUUUAGUAAAAGUA
This 68-nucleotide transfer RNA is filed under the name Megaxyela euchroma. RNAcentral's name for it is "tRNA-Gly". The record is from RNAcentral. Lineage: Eukaryota; Metazoa; Arthropoda; Insecta; Hymenoptera; Xyelidae.